RNAcentral lists this long non-coding RNA (668 nucleotides) under Corvus moneduloides (New Caledonian crow). Its description in RNAcentral is "lncRNA (ENSCMUG00000018091.1)". The record is from RNAcentral. Lineage: Eukaryota; Metazoa; Chordata; Aves; Passeriformes; Corvidae.
GGCUGGUCUGUUUAAACUCACAGACCCAAAAGCUAUCCUGCCAGGACAAGGGGUGAGCCCUUUCGGCUGUGCUUAGUCAUGAGUCAGCCCAAUAUGAUCAGAAGAGUUUACUUUGAAAUGAUGUCUCUUUGCAGCCGCUAUGAGAAUGGAGACUACAAGUAAUAUUAGCAAUUUGCUAGCAGACGUGGCUCUAUGGGAUAUGGUAAUGCCAUAUCUGGCUGUUCAGCUAGGCUAGGCAUUUCCUGGUUGCACCACCGUUACCUGUUUCUGGGGAACCUAUAACCUUGGCUGACCAGCAUUUGUAAUUUAUUCUGCUGUUUCCCUCGAGGGUGCUACAAACAUCAGAACGAGGGGUGCAGGAUGGAGCUACCUCUCAAGGGAAGCCUGCAGGGACCUGCCUCUUUGUGCUUCCUCUACACUGCCACAUCUCAAGCUUGCCUUCUCAGGGGCACCAUGUGCUUCCCCUCACAGCUGACAAGAGUUGCAGAAGAAAUGCAAAGCAGACCAGCUUACUUUCACCUCUUGAACAAGUGAGAGACAUAGGAAGAAAAAGCUUCCUCAAGAUAAGAGCAGGAGCCUAUGUUGUACGUGCACUCAGUGGAUCAAAACAUGAAGCUUUGCUGACAGCAUUUCCUUCUCCAUCCACAUCGCUGGUAUCAUCUGCCUGA